This 1515-nucleotide long non-coding RNA is filed under the name Equus caballus (horse). RNAcentral describes it as "lncRNA (ENSECAG00000039631.2)". The record is from RNAcentral. Lineage: Eukaryota; Metazoa; Chordata; Mammalia; Perissodactyla; Equidae.
AACCAGCAAGGCCAUAUGCUCCCCCUCCCCUACCUAAAACCCCAAAUAAAAACCCUUCCUUUUAGCUUUUUGGGGAGUUUGGGAUUUCAGCGUUAGCUGCCCUCUCUCCUUGCUCAGUGCUAUGCAAAAAUAAAAUUCCUGCUUUCUUCCACCACACCCAGUGUCAGGGAUUGGCUUGCUGCACAACGGGUGAGCGAACUCAUUUCAGAUUUUCUUCGAAUAUCUGAUAAUAUUUGUGGGAGAGAGAAUUGAAGGAAUUCCACUAGUGAUGGCAGAAAGAAAGAGAAGAAUAUAUAGAUGAAAUGGAGCAGAAUGGAAUGAGUGAGUGUGGGAUAAAGAUGAAGUUUUAGUGGAGGACAGAAGAUGUGAAAGUGUUGUUACCAGACUAAAGUAUUUCAAUAAUGGGGUAGCACAUCCAUUAGAGGAGAAAAGGAAGUUUGGCUUGACAGAACUGUUGUUAAAAUGGGAAUGGACUCAAGUCUUAACAUGUUAUGGUGAGCAAAAGAGGGCCACCAAGAUGAAGUUGAGAGAGGAUCAUUUCUAACAUUCCAAGUGUGGAGUGGGGAACCUUAUCCAGAGCCUGAAGAGCCUGGGGUAGGAAGUUGGACAAUUCACGACACAGAGCUCAAGAGGUCUCACCUGGCAGAUGGUACCUCAUAGGGGAAACUUUCAGACGACUGGAAGUCAAUGACACAAGAGUCAUGGCAGAAUCAUUGUAGAGGCUCUGUCUACUCUCACGAGGGUCUAAUCAGUGACUGAGGAGGAAGGCCAGAUUCUUCAGUGAAGGAAACUAGCAAAGGUGAGGUCUCUAUAUAAGAGGUCUGAGGCCCCUACCCAAGAGAAAGUCCUGAUAUUAGCAGUUCCCUAAAGAGACCACAGAAAAGGAAUCAACAUGGAAGGACAUUCCUACACACUCGUUCCUGGCUAGCUAAGAGGAGACAGGAACUACUGAACAUCAUCUAAAAUCUGAGUGGGAUGCAGGAAAAAAAUGUCCAGCCCCAGCCUGAGCUCACUCUCAUUAUAAGCUGGAUCUCUUUGUGUGCUCAGAUUUGACCUAGGAAAUGGGCUGGGUCUGGGCCAAGAGAUGAGGCUUAUCCAUAAAUCUAGUUGUAAGAGCUGAGGAAGGCAAAGGUAGGUGAAGUGAGACAGCAAGCUAACAUCAGAAUUUUGACCUGCCGAGGGCAGGGCCAGAUGAAUCAAUGAUUCUUAAACUUUGCUUGCAUUGGAGUCCCCUGGGGAGCUUGUAAAACUACAGCUGCACAGAUCCCACACCCAAAGAUAUAGAUCUACCUGGGGUGAGAUCCAAGCAUAUUUAUCUACUUAAUGAACCUUUUCUUUUAGAACAGUUUUAGAUUUAUGGAAUUAAUGCAAAAAAUAGGACAGAGACUUCCUGUAUAUCCUACAUCUAGUUUCUCCUAUUAACACCUUACAAUAGGAUGGAACACUUGUGACAAUUAAUGAACUGAUCCUGAAACAUUACUAUUAGCUAAUGUCUAUACUUUAUUCAUAUUUCCU